CUCAGUUGAAACUCAGAAAAAGCUCCUGACACUUCAUAGAAAACCCGAUGUUGGUGUCAGAAGGGAUAUAACAGCAUUAUCUUGGAAGGCUGAGGAUGCAACUUUCAAAAAAGCUGCUAAAAACAUGCUCAACAACAGAAAAGUUUGGUGACGCAGAGACUGAUGGAGAAUAUACAUGGAAAGUGAAUUUCAAAAUUGAUUCUCCACAUCAGAAGGCUGAUAUUAAGCGCUAAGCUCAACCAAUCAAGGAACAGACGUAAUACCAUAGGUGCUACAUGGCCUAUCAAAUUGAAACAACACCUCUCAGAUAUUAAAUAUAAAGUACUUAAAUAUAAAGAACACGAUGGCCUAAAUAUUUGCAAUAAUCCAGCCAAGGACCUAAGUAUGUGUUUAAUUUUACGCAAUCAAGUAUUUUAAAU
Long non-coding RNA from Malaclemys terrapin pileata, 419 nucleotides. RefSeq lists it as uncharacterized. The record is from RefSeq and is a predicted model, not a curated record. Lineage: Eukaryota; Metazoa; Chordata; Testudines; Emydidae. The transcript is spliced from 3 exons.